GGGUUGUGAGGUUAAGCGACUAAGCGUACACGGUGGAUGCCCUGGCAGUCAGAGGCGAUGAAGGGCGUGCUAAUCUGCGAUAAGCGCCGGUAAGGUGAUAUGAACCGUUAUAACCGGCGAUACCCGAAUGGGGAAACCCAGUGUGACUCGUCACACUAUCAUUAACUGAAUCCAUAGGUUAAUGAGGCGAACCGGGGAACUGAAACAUCUAAGUACCCCGAGGAAAAGAAAUCAACCGAGAUUCCCCCAGUAGCGGCGAGCGAACGGGGAGGAGCCCAGAGCCUGAAUCAGCAUGUGUGUUAGUGGAAGCGUCUGGAAAGGCGCGCGAUACAGGGUGACAGCCCCGUACACAAAAGCGCAUGUGCUGUGAGCUCGAUGAGUAGGGCGGGACACGUGGUAUCCUGUCUGAAUAUGGGGGGACCAUCCUCCAAGGCUAAAUACUCCUGACUGACCGAUAGUGAACCAGUACCGUGAGGGAAAGGCGAAAAGAACCCCGGCGAGGGGAGUGAAAAAGAACCUGAAACCGUGUACGUACAAGCAGUGGGAGCACAGGUUUACCUGUGUGACUGCGUACCUUUUGUAUAAUGGGUCAGCGACUUAUAUUCUGUAGCAAGGUUAACCGAAUAGGGGAGCCGGAGGGAAACCGAGUCUUAAUUGGGCGUUAAGUUGCAGGGUAUAGACCCGAAACCCGGUGAUCUAGCCAUGGGCAGGUUGAAGGUUGGGUAACACUAACUGGAGGACCGAACCGACUAAUGUUGAAAAAUUAGCGGAUGACCUGUGGCUGGGGGUGAAAGGCCAAUCAAACCGGGAGAUAGCUGGUUCUCCCCGAAAGCUAUUUAGGUAGCGCCUCGUGAAUUCAUCUCCGGGGGUAGAGCACUGUUUCGGCUAGGGGGCCAUCCCGGCUUACCAACCCGAUGCAAACUGCGAAUACCGGAGAAUGUUAUCACGGGAGACACACGGCGGGUGCUAACGUCCGUCGUGAAGAGGGAAACAACCCAGACCGCCAGCUAAGGUCCCAAAGUCAUGGUUAAGUGGGAAACGAUGUGGGAAGGCCCAGACAGCCAGGAUGUUGGCUUAGAAGCAGCCAUCAUUUAAAGAAAGCGUAAUAGCUCACUGGUCGAGUCGGCCUGCGCGGAAGAUGUAACGGGGCUAAACCAUGCACCGAAGCUGCGGCAGCGACACUGUGUGUUGUUGGGUAGGGGAGCGUUCUGUAAGCCUGCGAAGGUGGCCUGUGAGGGUUGCUGGAGGUAUCAGAAGUGCGAAUGCUGACAUAAGUAACGAUAAAGCGGGUGAAAAGCCCGCUCGCCGGAAGACCAAGGGUUCCUGUCCAACGUUAAUCGGGGCAGGGUGAGUCGACCCUAAGGCGAGGCCGAAAGGCGUAGUCGAUGGGAAACGGGUUAAUAUUCCCGUACUUGGUGUUACUGCGAAGGGGGGACGGAGAAGGCUAUGUUGGCCGGGCGACGGUUGUCCCGGUUUAAGCGUGUAGGUGUGUGUUCCAGGUAAAUCCGGUUCACUUUAACACUGAGGCGUGACGACGAGGCACUACGGUGCUGAAGCAACAAAUGCCCUGCUUCCAGGAAAAGCCUCUAAGCAUCAGGUAACAUCAAAUCGUACCCCAAACCGACACAGGUGGUCAGGUAGAGAAUACCAAGGCGCUUGAGAGAACUCGGGUGAAGGAACUAGGCAAAAUGGUGCCGUAACUUCGGGAGAAGGCACGCUGACACGUAGGUGAAGUGAUUUACUCAUGGAGCUGAAGUCAGUCGAAGAUACCAGCUGGCUGCAACUGUUUAUUAAAAACACAGCACUGUGCAAACACGAAAGUGGACGUAUACGGUGUGACGCCUGCCCGGUGCCGGAAGGUUAAUUGAUGGGGUCAGCGCAAGCGAAGCUCCUGAUCGAAGCCCCGGUAAACGGCGGCCGUAACUAUAACGGUCCUAAGGUAGCGAAAUUCCUUGUCGGGUAAGUUCCGACCUGCACGAAUGGCGUAAUGAUGGCCAGGCUGUCUCCACCCGAGACUCAGUGAAAUUGAACUCGCUGUGAAGAUGCAGUGUACCCGCGGCAAGACGGAAAGACCCCGUGAACCUUUACUAUAGCUUGACACUGAACAUUGAGCCUUGAUGUGUAGGAUAGGUGGGAGGCUUUGAAGUGUGGACGCCAGUCUGCAUGGAGCCGACCUUGAAAUACCACCCUUUAAUGUUUGAUGUUCUAACGUGGACCCGUUACCCGGGUUGCGGACAGUGUCUGGUGGGUAGUUUGACUGGGGCGGUCUCCUCCUAAAGAGUAACGGAGGAGCACGAAGGUUGGCUAAUCCUGGUCGGACAUCAGGAGGUUAGUGCAAUGGCAUAAGCCAGCUUGACUGCGAGCGUGACGGCGCGAGCAGGUGCGAAAGCAGGUCAUAGUGAUCCGGUGGUUCUGAAUGGAAGGGCCAUCGCUCAACGGAUAAAAGGUACUCCGGGGAUAACAGGCUGAUACCGCCCAAGAGUUCAUAUCGACGGCGGUGUUUGGCACCUCGAUGUCGGCUCAUCACAUCCUGGGGCUGAAGUAGGUCCCAAGGGUAUGGCUGUUCGCCAUUUAAAGUGGUACGCGAGCUGGGUUUAGAACGUCGUGAGACAGUUCGGUCCCUAUCUGCCGUGGGCGCUGGAGAACUGAGGGGGGCUGCUCCUAGUACGAGAGGACCGGAGUGGACGCAUCACUGGUGUUCGGGUUGUCAUGCCAAUGGCACUGCCCGGUAGCUAAAUGCGGAAGAGAUAAGUGCUGAAAGCAUCUAAGCACGAAACUUGCCCCGAGAUGAGUUCUCCCUGAGACUUAAAGUCUCCUGAAGGAACGUUGAAGACGACGACGUUGAUAGGCCGGGUGUGUAAGCGCAGCGAUGCGUUGAGCUAACCGGUACUAAUGAACCGUGAGGCUUAACCUUACAACGCCGAAG
RNAcentral lists this ribosomal RNA (2926 nucleotides) under Salmonella enterica. Its description in RNAcentral is "23S ribosomal RNA". It matches the Rfam family "Bacterial large subunit ribosomal RNA". Lineage: Bacteria; Pseudomonadati; Pseudomonadota; Gammaproteobacteria; Enterobacterales; Enterobacteriaceae. The record is from RNAcentral.